AAAUAAUUCAUACUACAUAUUAAGUUCAAUCAUAAUCUUAGAUAACUAAAUUAGUUCCCCAUAAUAUCACAAAUCAUCAUCAAAUAAAGUUUAAACAUUAAAACGAAGCCAAGAAAAUAAAAAAUAACAAAAAGAAUAAAGAAACUCAAAGAGUUGAAAUCUUGAUCUCCAAAUCUUCUUGAAUCCUUCAAUUUCUUUUCGGCUCCAAUGAGACUUUUCUUCAACGAUUUUUAGGUUGAAUCUUAGCUCUAAAUC
This 255-nucleotide long non-coding RNA is filed under the name Theobroma cacao (cacao). RNAcentral describes it as "long non-coding RNA (TCAC_LNC001581)". Lineage: Eukaryota; Viridiplantae; Streptophyta; Magnoliopsida; Malvales; Malvaceae. The record is from RNAcentral.